CAGUAGCCGCGGUAAUACGUAGGGUGCAAGCGUUAAUCGGAAUUACUGGGCGUAAAGCGUGCGCAGGCGGUUAUAUAAGACAGAUGUGAAAUCCCCGGGCUCAACCUGGGAACUGCAUUUGUGACUGUAUAGCUAGAGUACGGCAGAGGGGGAUGGAAUUCCGCGUGUAGCAGUGAAAUGCGUAGAUAUGCGGAGGAACACCGAUGGCGAAGGCAAUCCCCUGGGCCUGUACUGACGCUCAUGCACGAAAGCGUGGGGAGCAAACAGGAUUAGAGACCCGUGUAGUCCCUGUCUCUUAUAA
Molecule: ribosomal RNA, 301 nt
Filed under: uncultured bacterium
Lineage: Bacteria
Description: partial 16S ribosomal RNA
Rfam family: Bacterial small subunit ribosomal RNA
Source: RNAcentral